Lagenorhynchus albirostris (white-beaked dolphin) is the source of this 782-nucleotide long non-coding RNA. RefSeq lists it as uncharacterized. NCBI's taxonomy places the organism in Eukaryota, Metazoa, Chordata, Mammalia, Artiodactyla, Delphinidae. The record is from RefSeq and is a predicted model, not a curated record. The transcript is spliced from 2 exons.
GAUCGACCGCUCGGCGCUCGGCUGAGGAGCCUGGGAGACGCGCGAUCCCCGCUCGCAGAUUUAAGUGAACGGCGCUUGAGGCGGCCCCGCCUCCUUCCGGGAGCCGGAGGCGCGUGCAAGCCGCUUGCCCCGCCUGAACCGCGUGUCCACGCAGACUAUAAGUUCCGUGAAGACAGAAACCAGUCUCAUUCCAGCUCUUAAGAAGGUACUUGGGACAUAGAAUAUGCCCCAAAACUAUUUGUUGAAGGAAGAAAGGAAAGAAGAACAGAAAGAAAGAAAUACCAUAUUACGAACCUUAAUUGGAAUGAACAUUUGAUGAAGUGAAAUUGAUCCAACUAUAAACAACUGCAAGUAAUUGACCUUCAAUUUCAUUUCAUUUUUGGUAAGAGAGGAAAAUAAAUGAACUUAUUUUCUCAGUAGAGAAAGGAGAAAUUUAGAAAGAGGAGAUUGGAAGCAGAGGUCAAAAUUUAUGGACUUUACUACACUUCUUGUUUUAACUCAUUUGCUUAAUAUGGAGUGAACAAAAGAGUUCCAACCUAAGAUUCUGAGAUAAUUUCCUCCUGCCACUACAGAUACAGCCAACUCUGCUUAGUACAAUUUAUCAUGUUUUUGGAAACUUGUUUUAAUAAUGGUGACUGAAAGUAGCAACUUUGGGCGUAAUGUAUAAUAUAAUGAAAAAUUACUGCCUGUUCUUUUUAUGUUAACUUCGUGCAGUUUUUAUUUCCCAAGUAGAGCUUUUCCUUGGUUUCCUGCUUUUUGAUUAAUAAAAACACUGUGAGUAU